Molecule: ribosomal RNA, 466 nt
Filed under: Vreelandella stevensii
Lineage: Bacteria; Pseudomonadati; Pseudomonadota; Gammaproteobacteria; Oceanospirillales; Halomonadaceae
Description: partial 16S ribosomal RNA
Rfam family: Bacterial small subunit ribosomal RNA
Source: RNAcentral
CCUACGGGAGGCAGCAGUGGGGAAUAUUGGACAAUGGGGGGAACCCUGAUCCAGCCAUGCCGCGUGUGUGAAGAAGGCCCUCGGGUUGUAAAGCACUUUCAGUGAGGAAGAACGCCUGGUGGUUAAUACCCAUCAGGAAAGACAUCACUCACAGAAGAAGCACCGGCUAACUCCGUGCCAGCAGCCGCGGUAAUACGGAGGGUGCGAGCGUUAAUCGGAAUUACUGGGCGUAAAGCGCGCGUAGGUGGCUUGAUAAGCCGGUUGUGAAAGCCCCGGGCUCAACCUGGGAACGGCAUCCGGAACUGUCAAGCUAGAGUGCAGGAGAGGAAGGUAGAAUUCCCGGUGUAGCGGUGAAAUGCGUAGAGAUCGGGAGGAAUACCAGUGGCGAAGGCGGCCUUCUGGACUGACACUGACACUGAGGUGCGAAAGCGUGGGUAGCAAACAGGAUUAGAUACCCUUGUAGUUC